Molecule: ribosomal RNA, 253 nt
Filed under: uncultured bacterium
Lineage: Bacteria
Description: partial 16S ribosomal RNA
Rfam family: Bacterial small subunit ribosomal RNA
Source: RNAcentral
UACGGGGGGGGCAAGCGUUGUCCGGAAUUACUGGGCGUAAAGGGCUCGUAGGCGGCCAACUAAGUCAGACGUGAAAUCCCCAGGCUCAACCUGGGAACUGCGUCUGAUACUGGUUGGCUUGAAUCCGGGAGAGGGAUGCAGAAUUCCAGGUGUAGCGGUGAAAUGCGUAGAUAUCUGGAGGAAUACCGGUGGCGAAGGCGGCAUCCUGGACCGGCAUUGACGCUGAGGAGCGAAAGCCAGGGGAGCAAACGGG